CCUACGGGGGGCAGCAGUGGGGAAUAUUGCACAAUGGGCGAAAGCCUGAUGCAGCAACGCCGCGUGAGCGAUGAAGGCCUUCGGGACGUAAAGCUCUGUCAUCAAGGAAGAUAAUGACGGUACUUGAGGAGGAAGCCCCGGCUAACUACGUGCCAGCAGCCGCGGUAAUACGUAGGGGGCUAGGGUUAUCCGGAAUUACUGGGCGGAAAGGGUGCGUAGGUGGUUUUUUAAGUCAGAGGUGAAAGGCUACGGCUCAACCGUAGUAAGCCUUUGAAACUGGGGAACUUGAGUGCAGGAGAGGAGAGCGGAAGUCCUAGUGUAGCGGUGAAAUGCGUAGAUAGUAGGAGGAACACCAGUUGCGAAGGCGGCUCUCGGGACUGUAACUGACACUGAGGCACGAAAGCGUGGGGAGCAAACAGGAUUAGAUACCCUUGUAGUC
RNAcentral lists this ribosomal RNA (439 nucleotides) under uncultured bacterium. RNAcentral describes it as "partial 16S ribosomal RNA". It matches the Rfam family "Bacterial small subunit ribosomal RNA", at positions 338 to 795 of the family's 1533-position model. The record is from RNAcentral.